UGAACGCUGGCGGCGUGCCUAAUACAUGCAAGUCGCGCGAACGGACGAGAAGCUUGCUUCUCUGAUGUUAGCGGCGGACGGGUGAGUAACACGUGGAUAACCUACCUAUAAGACUGGGAUAACUUCGGGAAACCGGAGCUAAUACCGGAUGAUAUUUUGAACCGCAUGGUUCAAAAGUGAAAGACGGUCUUGCUGUCACUUAUAGAUGGAUCCGCGCUGCAUUAGCUAGUUGGUAAGGUAACGGCUUACCAAGGCAACGAUGCAUAGCCGACCUGAGAGGGUGAUCGGCCACACUGGAACUGAGACACGGUCCAGACUCCUACGGGAGGCAGCAGUAGGGAAUCUUCCGCAAUGGGCGAAAGCCUGACGGAGCAACGCCGCGUGAGUGAUGAAGGUCUUCGGAUCGUAAAACUCUGUUAUUAGGGAAGAACAUAUGUGUAAGUAACUGUGCACAUCUUGACGGUACCUAAUCAGAAAGCCACGGCUAACUACGUG
This 495-nucleotide ribosomal RNA is filed under the name uncultured bacterium. RNAcentral's name for it is "partial 16S ribosomal RNA". It matches the Rfam family "Bacterial small subunit ribosomal RNA", at positions 30 to 507 of the family's 1533-position model. The record is from RNAcentral.